Molecule: transfer RNA, 93 nt
Filed under: Rhodoferax sp.
Lineage: Bacteria; Pseudomonadati; Pseudomonadota; Betaproteobacteria; Burkholderiales; Comamonadaceae
Description: tRNA-Ser
Rfam family: tRNA
About the family: Transfer RNA (tRNA) molecules are approximately 80 nucleotides in length. Their secondary structure includes four short double-helical elements and three loops (D, anti-codon, and T loops). Further hydrogen bonds mediate the characteristic L-shaped molecular structure. tRNAs have two regions of fundamental functional importance: the anti-codon, which is responsible for specific mRNA codon recognition, and the 3' end, to which the tRNAs corresponding amino acid is attached (by aminoacyl-tRNA synthetases). tRNAs cope with the degeneracy of the genetic code in two manners: having more than one tRNA (with a specific anti-codon) for a particular amino acid; and 'wobble' base-pairing, i.e. permitting non-standard base-pairing at the 3rd anti-codon position.
Source: RNAcentral
GGAAACGUGACCGAGUGGCCGAAGGUGCUCCCCUGCUAAGGGAGUAGGGUACGUAAAAUACCCUCAAGAGUUCGAAUCUCUUCGUUUCCGCCA